RNAcentral lists this long non-coding RNA (450 nucleotides) under Mustela putorius furo (domestic ferret). RNAcentral's name for it is "lncRNA (ENSMPUG00000024674.1)". Lineage: Eukaryota; Metazoa; Chordata; Mammalia; Carnivora; Mustelidae. The record is from RNAcentral.
CUGGACUCCUGGGGUGGAGCCCUGCCUUCCAUUCCCUGCUCAGUGAGGAAUCUGCCUCUCCCUCUGCCCUUCACCCUGCUCUUACUCCUCUCUCUCUCAAGUAAAUAAAACCUUAAAAAAAAAAAAAAAGAUAAAUUGUUCAUUAGAGGCAGAAGAAAAAUUAUUACAUUUCCUUACCUACUGAGAAGCCCUUGAAACAGGCAGAGUGACUCUCCUCUCCUCAACUACCCUCACUUUGAGGCUUUGCUAAGGGCAAAGGAUAAUCCUAGCCUGACCGACGCCCAACCUCCAACCAGGAUCCUAAUUGUUGGAAAAGACCAUGGUGAACAGACUGAGAAAAUAGGCAGGGACAAGAGAGAGCAGGCAAAAUGGUGCCACAGAGCAAAUUCAGUGAGGACAUCAUGACCACCUCUGCCAAAAUCCCAGGUACUAUAUUUUAUGUUGUUCCCA